UACGGGGGGGAGCAAGCGUUGUUCGGAUUUACUGGGCGUAAAGGGCGCGUAGGCGGCGCAACAAGUCACUUGUGAAAUCUCCGGGCUUAACCCGGAGCGGCCAAGUGAUACUGUCGUGCUAGAGUGCGGAAGGGGCUACUGGAAUUCUCGGUGUAGCGGUGAAAUGCGUAGAUAUCGAGAGGAACACCUGCGGUCGAAGGCGGGUAGCUGGGCCGACACUGACGCUGAGGCGCGAAGCCAGGGGAGCGAACGGG
RNAcentral lists this ribosomal RNA (254 nucleotides) under uncultured bacterium. RNAcentral's name for it is "partial 16S ribosomal RNA". It matches the Rfam family "Bacterial small subunit ribosomal RNA", at positions 524 to 776 of the family's 1533-position model. The record is from RNAcentral.